This 380-nucleotide ribosomal RNA is filed under the name uncultured bacterium. RNAcentral's name for it is "bacterial SSU rRNA". It matches the Rfam family "Bacterial small subunit ribosomal RNA", at positions 395 to 775 of the family's 1533-position model. The record is from RNAcentral.
CGCCGCGUGGAGGAAGAAUGGCUUUUGCUUGUAAACUCCUGUAUGUGGGGAAAAAAUCUCUCCUUUGGCGAGGAUGAUGGUACCCUCGGGGUAAGCCCCGGCUAACUACGUGCCAGCCGCCGCGGGCAUACGUAGGGGGCAAGCGAUGUCCGGACUUAUUGGGUGUAAAGGGUGCUUAGGCGGAUUUGUAAGUCAGAGGUGAAAUCUCCCGGCUCAACCGGGAAACUGCCUUUGAUACUGCAAGCCUUGAGUGUGGAAGAGGAUGAUGGAAUAUCUGGUGUAGCAGUGAAAUGCGUAGAUAUCAGAUAGAACACCAAUGGCGAAGGCAGUCAUCUGGUCCAUAACUGACGCUAAAGCACGAAAGCGUGGGUAGCAAACAG